Molecule: transfer RNA, 73 nt
Filed under: Bos taurus (domestic cattle)
Lineage: Eukaryota; Metazoa; Chordata; Mammalia; Artiodactyla; Bovidae
Also listed under: 4 other names
Rfam family: tRNA
About the family: Transfer RNA (tRNA) molecules are approximately 80 nucleotides in length. Their secondary structure includes four short double-helical elements and three loops (D, anti-codon, and T loops). Further hydrogen bonds mediate the characteristic L-shaped molecular structure. tRNAs have two regions of fundamental functional importance: the anti-codon, which is responsible for specific mRNA codon recognition, and the 3' end, to which the tRNAs corresponding amino acid is attached (by aminoacyl-tRNA synthetases). tRNAs cope with the degeneracy of the genetic code in two manners: having more than one tRNA (with a specific anti-codon) for a particular amino acid; and 'wobble' base-pairing, i.e. permitting non-standard base-pairing at the 3rd anti-codon position.
Source: Rfam by way of RNAcentral
UCUCUGGUGGGCCAAUGGUUAAGACUUCCUGCUUCCAAUGCAGGGAAUGUGGGUUUGAUCCCUAUUCAGGGAA